UCCAUUGUGUCCACUUCUGUGAGGGA
This 26-nucleotide small RNA is filed under the name Bombyx mori (domestic silkworm). Its description in RNAcentral is "ovarian small RNA-27102". Lineage: Eukaryota; Metazoa; Arthropoda; Insecta; Lepidoptera; Bombycidae. The record is from RNAcentral.